This is a long non-coding RNA of Dicentrarchus labrax (European seabass), 521 nucleotides long. RefSeq lists it as uncharacterized. The record is from RefSeq and is a predicted model, not a curated record. The transcript has 4 exons. NCBI's taxonomy places the organism in Eukaryota, Metazoa, Chordata, Actinopteri, Moronidae.
UUAUUAUUAUUAUUAUUAUUAUUAACUUCAUCACGGAUUUAUUUUGAAAUCUGGAACCGGAAGUUGUGGUUGUAUAUCCGCUCUCUUCCUGAACGGAGAAAUAAAUAAAUAAAAUCGACACGAGCGGCAGGUAAACAGACAGGUGAACAGACAGGUGAACAGACAGGUAAACAGACAGGUGAACAGACAGACGGGUGAACAGACAGGUAAACAGACAGGUGAACAGACAGGUGAACAGACAGGUGAACAGACAGGUGAACAGACAGGAGAACAGACGGGUGAACAGACAGGUAAACAGACAGGUGAACAGACAGGUGAACAGACAGGUGAACAGACAGACGGGAGAACAGACAGGUGAACAGACAGGUGAACAGACAGGUGAACAGACAGGUGAACAGACAGACAGGUGAACAGUCAGGUGAACAGACAGGAGAACAGACAGGUAAACAGACAGGUGAACAGACAGGUGAACAGACUCACCUGUCCUGUACAGAAGCACCUGAGUGUGUCUCCUCUGGCUC